AAUCCUUUUAUUCAGUGGCUAAAUUUACUCAUUGUGAAUUAAAGGACAUUGUAACUUAACAUAACAUCUGACUUGCUAUAAUUACUGAAGGGUGUUUUCAGGCACUUUACAAUUUUAGUAGUUACUGACAUCAGGUCAUCCAAUUCCCAGUCAUUAGAAUAGUAGUAGAUGGGGAGAAAAGAUAAUCAGUUUGUGCAAUUGAGGAUGUCUAUAUCAUUCAUGCUGUAUGUAGGAUGUUAUGCACUAUAAGUGGCUUCUUAGCUUGCUUAACUUGGUAUUAAUUUUGAACAAGGUACUGGCAGCAUAAGCAGUGUUUUCUCCAAUUUUAUUUCCAGCCGUGUGGUCCUCUGAUGUCCGUCAUGGCAAUGACUCCUCAAACCAGAAAUCAAUGCCACUAUCAAUGUCUUGACAUCAAUCAUAGUGCACAGAACCUUGGAAACUUAAAGGGAACGCUGAGUCCCAUUUAAGAACUCCAGGCAAAGUGGAAGAUGACUCAGAUGACGGCUCAUCACCAAAGGGGUCUAGCACCUGAUUACUCAGAUCUUACCUUCAUUGGAGAGAAAGUGACUCUUGGUUUCAUUUUCACCAUGAUAACUUUCAGUUUUUGGUGAAAAACCUAGGAUCUCUGAAUCAUAUCCCCAACACCAGAUUUGGAAUCUCUGCAACUGGAAACAUCUUCAUUAUCUUUCCUCUAUCAAACCCUCUGAUAUUUUUAAAUUCCUCUGCCCGAUUACUUCUCAGCUGUCUCUUUUUGAGAAAAUAAAAGUUGAAAUAACUUCACAGAGGUUGG
Chiloscyllium plagiosum (whitespotted bambooshark) is the source of this 790-nucleotide non-coding RNA. The record is from RefSeq and is a predicted model, not a curated record. Lineage: Eukaryota; Metazoa; Chordata; Chondrichthyes; Orectolobiformes; Hemiscylliidae.